Triticum aestivum (bread wheat) is the source of this 134-nucleotide non-coding RNA. The record is from Rfam. Lineage: Eukaryota; Viridiplantae; Streptophyta; Magnoliopsida; Poales; Poaceae.
ACAGUACUUCCUCCGUCCGGAAAUACUUGUUAUCAAAAUGGAUAAAAAGGAUGUAUCUAGAUGUACUUUAGUUUUAAAUACAUCUCGUUUUAUCCAUUUUAAUGACAAGCAUUUUCGGACCGAGGGAGUACUUG